GAGAGCCGUAUGCAUUGAAAGGUGCCCGUACGGUUCGGGAAGGGGCGAGGUCUUUAGACUUCGCCUAUUUCAU
Non-coding RNA from Clostridiales bacterium CHKCI006, 73 nucleotides. The record is from Rfam. NCBI's taxonomy places the organism in Bacteria, Bacillati, Bacillota, Clostridia, Eubacteriales.